RNAcentral lists this ribosomal RNA (275 nucleotides) under uncultured bacterium. Its description in RNAcentral is "partial 16S ribosomal RNA". It matches the Rfam family "Bacterial small subunit ribosomal RNA", at positions 399 to 691 of the family's 1533-position model. The record is from RNAcentral.
GCGUGAGUGAAGAAGGCCCUAGGGUUGUAAAACUCUUUCAGUGGUGACGAUGAUGACGGUAACCACAGAAGAAGCCCCGGCUAACUCCGUGCCAGCAGCCGCGGUAAUACGGAGGGGGCUAGCGUUGUUCGGAUUUACUGGGCGUAAAGCGCACGUAGGCGGCGAAUCUAGUCAGAGGUGAAAGGCCCGGGCUCAACCCGGGAACUGCCUUUGAUACUGGUUUGCUAGAGUUCGGAAGAGGGUAGCGGAAUUCCCAGUGUAGAGGUGAAAUUCGU